CGAAAGCCUGACGGAGCAAUACCGCGUGAGGGAGGAAGGCUCUUGGGUUGUAAACCUCUUUUCUCAAGGAAUAAGUUCUGAAGGUACUUGAGGAAUAAGCAUCGGCUAACUCCGUGCCAGCAGCCGCGGUAAUACGGAGGAUGCAAGCGUUAUCCGGAAUGAUUGGGCGUAAAGGGUCCGCAGGUGGCAGUGAAAGUCUGCUGUCAAAGAAUGAGGCUUAACCUCAUCAAGGCAGUGGAAACUACAUAGCUAGAGUACGGUCGGGGUAGAAGGAAUUCCUGGUGUAGCGGUGAAAUGCGUAGAUAUCAGGAAGAACACCGGUGGCGAAAGCGCUCUGCUGGGCCGUAACUGACACUCAUGGACGAAAGCUAGGGGAGCG
RNAcentral lists this ribosomal RNA (379 nucleotides) under uncultured Hassallia sp. Its description in RNAcentral is "bacterial SSU rRNA". It matches the Rfam family "Bacterial small subunit ribosomal RNA", at positions 376 to 770 of the family's 1533-position model. The record is from RNAcentral. Lineage: Bacteria; Bacillati; Cyanobacteriota; Cyanophyceae; Nostocales; Tolypothrichaceae.